AUGGUACAGUCUCUCUACAGGUCUCAGACCCGCCAAUCAGGCAUGGGGACCAUCACUCCUGAUGUUCCUGGAGAAGGUGCAGAUUCCAGAACCCAGCAUGUUGUAGAGCAGCCUGUGUCUGAGUCAGUCCAGCCAGGAGACUCUGUGACUCUGAACUGUACAAUACACACUGAGACCUGUGCAGGAGAACACAGUGUCUAUUGGUUCAGACAUGGCUCAGGAGAAUCCUGUCCAGGAAUCAUUUACACCCAUAGGGACAGGAGUAAUCAGUGUGAGAAGAGCCCUGAGUCUGGGUCUCCUACACAGAGCUGUGUCUACAACCUCCCCAAGAGGAACCUCAGCCUCUCUGAUGCUGGGACUUACUACUGUGCUGUGGCCUCAUGUGGGGAGAUACUGUUUGGGAACGGGACCAAACUGGAUGUUGAAGAUGGUGAUGUUGAUCCAUAGAUGACAAUCCUGGACCUUCUCUCCAUCAUAAGAACUGGAGUUCUCCUCUGCUGUCUGACCAUCUUCAUCAUCAUCUACCUCACCAGGAAAUAGACAAAGUUAGGGCCAAUAUCAAUAGCCUAUAUGUAGUAUGUUACUUGCUUUCACCAAAUCCCUGUGUAUGCACUUAUUGUAUA
Non-coding RNA from Coregonus clupeaformis (lake whitefish), 623 nucleotides. Lineage: Eukaryota; Metazoa; Chordata; Actinopteri; Salmoniformes; Salmonidae. The record is from the annotation of a RefSeq genome assembly.